This 480-nucleotide ribosomal RNA is filed under the name uncultured bacterium. Its description in RNAcentral is "bacterial SSU rRNA". It matches the Rfam family "Bacterial small subunit ribosomal RNA", at positions 29 to 506 of the family's 1533-position model. The record is from RNAcentral.
GUUAACGCUGGCAGCGUGCAUAACACAUGCAAGUCGAGCGGGAUAUUCGGCGUAGCAAUACGUCGGAUGUCUAGCGGCAGACGAGUGAGUAACACGUAAGAAACCUACCCCGGAACAAGGAACAACCCGCCGAAAGGCGGGCUGAUACCUUAUAUAAUCCUCUAGCGGCAUCGCUUAAGGAUGAAAGGCGUAAGCCGGUCUGGGAGGGUCUUGCGACCUAUCAGCUUGUUGGCGGGGUAAUGGCCCACCAAGGCGACGACGGGUAGCCGGCCUGAAAGGGCGAUCGGCCACGGAGGCACUGAGACACGGGCCUCACUCCUACGGGAGGCAGCAGUGGGGAAGUUUGGACAAUGGGGGAAACCCUGAUCCAGCAACGCUGCGUGAAGGACGAAGGUCUUCGGAUUGUAAACUUCUUUUGUUCGGGACGAAUGCCCGCAAGGGUUUGACGGUACCGGACGAAUAAGCCACGGCUAACUACGU